This 646-nucleotide long non-coding RNA is filed under the name Mytilus galloprovincialis (Mediterranean mussel). The record is from RNAcentral. Lineage: Eukaryota; Metazoa; Mollusca; Bivalvia; Mytilida; Mytilidae.
CAGUAAUUGAAACGAAAGUUGUAUGUUGUUAAUAUAGUUUUGAUAUGAUUUUAAAUCUUUUUACUAGACAUGUUAAUAGUAUUUAAUCUCUGUCUUGCAUAAAAUUCUUUAUUUUGUGUUAUUAUAGGUCACUGUUUACUAAUAGGAGGAAAAUCAUAUAAAUCCUUAUCAUUGAUUGAUUGAUUGUUGGUUGCUUUACGCCGCAUUAGCACAAAAAGGCUAUAUCGCGGCGAUAUAAAUCCUUAUCAAAAUACAUUCUAUUUAAGUAAGUUCAGACAGUCGUCUUGCAGCACUGCUUACAUUACACUUAUCAGCUUUUAAUGCAAUUUCAAGGAAACAUUGUCUUGCUAAGCUUUGUUUACCCAUCAUUUGGAAAACUUUACCAAGACAAAUAAGUGACAAAAAUACAUCAUAUGGAUUUAGUUUUCUAUUACUUAGAUGCAUUAAAAUUGUUUGGUGUAACUGUAUUGAAGAUUGAUUGCAUGCUGUCAUUUCAUGUAAAUGGUAGUAACACAGACAACUUAAGAAAUGUGCAAAUGCUAGAGGAUGAAAAAAACAAACGUUUUCAUAAACAUUAAGUUUUAGUUCUUGUGGAAAAAUUGACGUUCUUUUAUAAAAUCUAAGAAACUUUAUUGUCAUUGUUUUU